GUGGGGAAUUUUGGACAAUGGGCGCAAGCCUGAUCCAGCAAUGCCGCGUGUGUGAAGAAGGCCUUCGGGUUGUAAAGCACUUUUGUCCGGAAAGAAAUGGCCUGGGUUAAUACCCCGGGUCGAUGACGGUACCGGAAGAAUAAGCACCGGCUAACUACGUGCCAGCAGCCGCGGUAAUACGUAGGGUGCGAGCGUUAAUCGGAAUUACUGGGCGUAAAGCGUGCGCAGGCGGCGAUGCAAGACAGAUGUGAAAUCCCCGGGCUCAACCUGGGAACUGCAUUUGUGACUGAAUGGCUAGAGUGCGUCAGAGGGGGGUGGAAUUCCGCGUGUAGCAGUGAAAUGCGUAGAGAUGCGGAGGAACACCGAUGGCGAAGGCAGCCCCCUGGGAUGACACUGACGCUCAUGCACGAAAGCGUGGGGAGCAAACAGGAUUAGAUACCCCAGUAGUCC
This 450-nucleotide ribosomal RNA is filed under the name uncultured bacterium. RNAcentral describes it as "partial 16S ribosomal RNA". It matches the Rfam family "Bacterial small subunit ribosomal RNA", at positions 354 to 796 of the family's 1533-position model. The record is from RNAcentral.